RNAcentral lists this ribosomal RNA (766 nucleotides) under Microsporidia sp. RNAcentral's name for it is "SSU rRNA". It matches the Rfam family "Microsporidia small subunit ribosomal RNA", at positions 62 to 814 of the family's 1311-position model. Lineage: Eukaryota; Fungi; Microsporidia. The record is from RNAcentral.
GGGGGGUUGCCUCGGGUUUGGAAUUCCUGGCCCGCCCAAGGUUGAAUUCCUGCCCGCAAUAGUUUGAUUCCUGGCCUGCGAUGAUUUUUUCUGGCUGCGUAGAUAACUACGUGAAAAUGUAGCUAAGGGAAGGCAGAAUAAGACGCAGGACUAUCAGUUAGUUGGUAGUGUAAUGGACUACCAAGACAGUGACGGUUGACGGGAAAUUAGGGUUUUGUACCGGAGAGGGAGCCUGAGAGAUUGCUCCCACGUCCAAGGACGGCAGCAGGCGCGAAAAUUGCCCACUCUUUGCAGGAGGCAGUUAUGAGACGUGAAGAUGAGUAUCUUGUAAAGAGGGAUAGGAGAAUUGGAGGGCAAGUUUGGUGCCAGCAGCCGCGGUAAUACCGACUCCAAGAGUGUGUAUGAGAGAUGCUGCAGUUAAAAAGUCCGUAGUCAUAGAAGGGCAAAGAGAGAUGCGAGGUCUCACAGUGCGAUGAUGGAGGAGCCGAUGGGGAACAUACUAUACCAGGGCGAGAGAUGAAAUGCCAAGACCCCUGGUGGACUGAGCGAGGCGAACGCGAUGUUCUUGUAGGCAUUCGGUGAUCAAGGACGAAGGCUGGAGUAUCGAAAGUGAUUAGAUACCGCAGUAGUUCCAGCAGUAAAAGAUGCCGACAUGCUCAUUGGACACAGGGGCAGGGAGAAAUCUUAGAGUUUCGGGCUCUGGGGGAUAGUAUGCUCGCAGGGAGGAGAGUAAAAGAAAUGGCGGGACUACGCCGCAUGGAGGGGG